RNAcentral lists this ribosomal RNA (336 nucleotides) under Triglochinura curvispina. Its description in RNAcentral is "partial 12S ribosomal RNA". Lineage: Eukaryota; Metazoa; Arthropoda; Arachnida; Opiliones; Gonyleptidae. The record is from RNAcentral.
CCCUAUUAUGAAUUUAGUAGAAGGUACUAGUAAUAUAUGAAACUAAAUAAUUUUGGCGGUUGAUUUUUAAUUUAGAGGAGCUUAUUAUUUAAUUAGUAUAAGAAUCAACUCUAUAAAUCUAAGUAUAAAUUUGAGUUUAUUCAUCUCCGUUAUUAAGUUAGUUAACUGAAAAUUAAUUUGUUAAUUAUAAUAUUUCAGGUCAAGAUGUAGCUUUUUUAUAAAAAAUAUUAGCUAUAAUUUAAAUAUAAUUGAAUUUUAAAUUGUACUUUUUUCUUAAAUUGAAUUUAGUUGUAAUAAGAACUAUAAAGUUUUUAUGAAGAAAUAAAAAUCAAUGUA